CUCUGAUUAGGGGUGUUGCUGCCCUGCAGUGUGUAGCUUUAAGGAGCUCUGGCUGUAUGGAAAUUGGGAGGAUCCUGCUAUAUGAUGCCUCCUGACUACGUUGCUGGUUGCAAAUCCCAGAAUCUGUUGGCCUCAGAGCGUUGCCCAAGGGUAUCUUGGCACAGAAGAGAACUUUGAACAAGCCAAUGUGCCCAUCUUCCACAAGAAGCARGUGGCACCAAGGGUUCCCACCCCAAUGGGGAUGUUGACAGCUCUUCCUUCGGUUCCUAACGGAGUCGUCCCGAGCAGAGCCAGCCCUGCAAGACGACCUUUAUUUAAAGGACAGAAGCCAUAGCACUGAAUCAAUGUCUCUGUGCUGGGAGCGCUGCAUUGCAGCGUCAGCAUCGGGAAUGAUCCCAGCCAUAGCCGGUGUCUCGAUGUGCCAGGACCUACAGACCCGGGCGCAAGCGUGGUUGCGUUGACGCUCAAGCAAUGUCAUCGAUAUUAUAUAGCAGCUAUGGAUACUGGACUUGUGGAUUUGUAGAAACUACUAGUGCUCUUAAUUCAGCCUGGAGGUUGUUUAACAGGGAGAUUUGGUAAGCAGUGCGAGUCUUCUGCUUUAUUUACUGGUAGUUUGGUCCACAGAUCCUCCAAAAUUCUCCUGACAUGGAUGAGCUAAGAUAUGUCACUCUGUUCCCAGCUCCCGGGCCUUGGAGGGUCUCUCCAGCUCGUGUCAGCUGAGCUAUAACUCGCACUAAGGCACUGCAGGAAGGUUUAUGGCUUAGUUUUUCUCUUGCAUUGGCACCUGGAAGACCCAGCAGUCUUAUCCCAUCAUACAUGGUCUAGGAAAAUCAGUCUUGUGGAUUCUUUGCAAGCAUGAGACAAAAUGUGACUAAGAAAUGCAACUUCAUACGUAUUCUACCAUAUGUUUGCUAUGUGAAAUUUCUAAUAAAGUAUCAGUUUCUGUAACAGUGCAAAGGUUCUCUGAAAAGGACUGUUCAUCUUAGCUGCUCCAGGAAAAAACUCCCCAAAGAGAUUGUACAAGGCUCCUGGAUCCAGACGGCUGAACUGUGGUURUUAAGACCUAAAAUUAUUGCUGUGCUAUUGCUGCUGGUAGCUAACAGCAGGAAAAUCACCGGACAACAGACAUUGGCAGUGACUUCAGCAGGAGCUUGGUGGCUUUGGCUGUCUUCAUUGCAGCCCCUUCCAGUGAAUUUCAGCACCGUUCAAAUGUCCUCUUGAAGAGUAUAAAUGCUUCCAAAAYGAGGUGGAAAAACCUUCAGCACUCUAGCUAAUAGCACAUCAGAGGAAAUGCCUGGCUGCUACUGUAACCUCAGUAGGCAUCUUUACAUGGGAGGACAUAAACUGUCUCUGAAUUAUUUAUUGAACCAAAGACAUCAAAUUGGACAAUUAACCUUGAAAACUUAAUUUAAGCACCAUAAAAGAAGCAUCUCCUGGGAGCAGGGGGGAAAAAAGUGUCCUUAGUAAGUCAGAAGAGCAAAAUGUAGCAGGUUAUGCCAUGGUCCAUUGCAGGAGAUUGGACCARUUCUGGCCACUUCAGUGUGUUUGUGCCCAUGAAUCGAUUAGUGUGAGAGGUAAUUUGGCCAUAACACGGUGAUUUGGAGAGCAGGGUGGAUGUCUCCUUAGAAGAGUCUUCCUCUCAAGGACAUUCCCUUGCUGUGUUCCAACAGGAGCUGGGAAAUGCUGGAGACUCUGGCACAAAUCCAUGCCUAAGCUGAACAGCCCCCAAAACCAAAUGCUUUACAGUCCCCAGAAACUGUAGUUUCUGAUUCACUCAGACUGAGUGAAGAAGGGGAGGUAUCAUAGGUGGCUGGGACAAGAAAGGAGAUGAAGGUUGGGAGRUGUCUUCAGGCCCUUGUGUAACAGGGAUUGGGGAAGAAGAGACUGAGCAUGGGAGGUUUUACUGGAAACUUCUUGUGUUUCAGUUGGGAGGCAAAGGGGAGUUUUCUUUUUCCCCUCGUUUCAUCCUGCUUUGGAUCAGUCCUGGUGUCCCAGCURUGUCCGUGACGCCACGCUCCUCUACCACUGCUAAAUGGUGGAAGCUGCAGAAGACUCAAACAAUUUAUUCUGUUUAAUUUCCUCCACAAAGGUGUUUUAUCCUCACUAAUAAAAAGAGUGGAACUUGAUCAUUUCUAAAAUAUUGUCCCUUCUAAAUCUUUAUGGCUCAAAGUGGACUGAGAUCAUUAGAAGUUACUUUAUGUGCAGCUCAAUCAGCUCCAAAGGGCUAUCUCAGUCACUUCAUGCUUGCUGAGAGCAGAUCCCAUUUCCCAGAGGCAAAAGGACAAUACU
Nothoprocta perdicaria is the source of this 2289-nucleotide long non-coding RNA. RefSeq lists it as uncharacterized. NCBI's taxonomy places the organism in Eukaryota, Metazoa, Chordata, Aves, Tinamiformes, Tinamidae. The record is from RefSeq and is a predicted model, not a curated record. The transcript is spliced from 3 exons.